AUAUAUUUAUUCGGCUUGGUCACACUUUUACACUGAUUUUUCUCUCCAACUCAUAGCUGCGUUUUGAGAAAUAGACUAACGCAAUAAAAACAAUAUAUUGCCAUUUAGAUAAAAACUUUACAAUUGAUUUAUUACAUUUUAUAAUUUGGAUUGCCAAAGAGUAUAUUAUAUCUUCAGUCAGAAGUUUGUAACGCAGUGACGGAGACGUGCCCUACCCCAUAAAGUAUAUACAUUCUUGAUCAGCAUCACUAGUCGAGUCGAUCUAUAUCUAUAACUCCCAUAGGAAUAAUCGGGAAAAGUGUUUAAAAAAUGAUAACUUUGAUGUUUUUUUUUUAACAUUUUAAUAAAUUCUCAAUUUGGAAUUAACUUUUAUCGAAAUUGGACGACUAUAUCCAUAUUUCUGCCAUACAAACGAUUGGAAUUGUGGUCGGCAGACAGAUUUAAGCGUUUUGGCCUUUUUGGGCGUUAGAGGGGGCGGGGCAUUUGUGGGCGUUAGAGGGGGCGUGUCCCCUUUUUUUUGGCGCUACAUAUUUUCGCGGAUUGUGGGCGUUAGAGUGAGCAUGGCAUCCUGCUUGCCCUGCGUAGGAAGCCCAGGAAUCCGCAUGCCAAGUAUGAAUAUUCUACCUCAUACAGUUUCCGAGAUUUUAGCUGUCAAACGGACGGGCAGACAGACGGAAAGACGGACAUGGCUGGAUCCUGAUAAAGAAUAUAUAUACUUUUUGGAGUCGGAAACGCUUGCUUUUACCUGUUACAUAGUUUCUGACGAAUCCACGAGUGACGGUUAUAAAAAUUAUAUAUUUGGUGUUUUUUAGCAUAGAACCUCCUACGUUUGGAAAAAAACAUUUUUUAUUUAGGAUGGAAUUUACAAUUUAAUUUAAUCAAAUCGGAUGACUAUAUCAUAAAGCUGUUAUAGGAACGAUCAGAAAAUUCGUGGGAAAAUAAAAUUAAACAAAUUAUA
Molecule: long non-coding RNA, 958 nt
Organism: Drosophila biarmipes
Lineage: Eukaryota; Metazoa; Arthropoda; Insecta; Diptera; Drosophilidae
Exons: 2
Source: RefSeq, a predicted model, not a curated record